AGAGUUUGAUCCUGGCUCAGAAUCAACGCUGGCGGCGUGCCUAACACAUGCAAGUCGCACGAGAAAGGGACUUCGGUCCUGAGUACAGUGGCGCACGGGUGAGUAACACGUGAAUAAUCUACCUCCGAGUGGGGAAUAACCUAGAGAAAUCUGGGCUAAUACCGCAUAACACUUACGAGUCAAAGCAGCAAUGCGCUUGGAGAGGAGUUCGCGGCAGAUUAGUUAGUUGGCGGGGUAAUGGCCCACCAAGACGAUGAUCUGUAUCCGGCCUGAGAGGGCGCACGGACACACUGGAACUGAAACACGGUCCAGACUCCUACGGGAGGCAGCAGUGGGGAAUUUUGCGCAAUGGGGGAAACCCUGACGCAGCAACGCCGCGUGGAGGAUGAAAUCCCUUGGGAUGUAAACUCCUUUCGAUCGGGAAGAUAAUGACGGUACCGAGAGAAGAAGCCCCGGCUAACUUCGUGCCAGCAGCCGCGGUAAUACGAGGGGGGCAAGCGUUGUUCGGAAUUAUUGGGCGUAAAGGGUGCGUAGGCGGUUUGAUAAGUCACAUGUGAAAUCUUCGGGCUCAACCCGAAGUCUGCAUGCGAAACUGUCGGGCUUGAGUAUGGGAGAGGUGAGUGGAAUUUCCGGUGUAGCGGUGAAAUGCGUAGAUAUCGGAAGGAACACCUGUGGCGAAAGCGGCUCACUGGACCAUAACUGACGCUGAUGCACGAAAGCUAGGGGAGCAAACAGGAUUAGAUACCCUAGUAGUCC
Molecule: ribosomal RNA, 756 nt
Filed under: uncultured bacterium
Lineage: Bacteria
Description: bacterial SSU rRNA
Rfam family: Bacterial small subunit ribosomal RNA
Source: RNAcentral